AGUGGAUGGGGAGCAACAAAAGUUGUGUGUGUGUAAAGGUAGUGCCAAGAAAAGCUGAGUUGAUGUUGAACAAAAGAUUCCGUACCCGAAACCGACACAGGUAGGCAAGUAGGGAAUACUAAGGGGCGCGAGGUAACUCUCUCCAAGGAACUCGGCAAAAUGACCCCGUAACUUCGGGAGAAGGGGUGCCACCGAGAGGUGGUCGCAGUGAAGAGUCCCAGGCGACUGUUUAGCAAAAACAUAGGUCUCUGCAAACUCGAAAGAGGAGGUAUAGGGGCUGACGCCUGCCCAGUGCCGGAAGGUUAAAGAAGUUGGUCAGUCGGAAGAUGAAGCUAACGACUGAAGCCCCGGUGAACGGCGGCCGUAACUAUAACGGUCCUAAGGUAGCGAAAUUCCUUGUCGGGUAAGUUCCGACCCGCACGAAAGGCGUAACGAUCUGGGAGCUGUCUCGGAGAGAGGCUCGGCGAAAUAGGAUUGUCUGUGAAGAUACGGACUACCUGCAUUUGGACAGAAAGACCCUAUGAAGCUUUACUGUAGCUUGGAAUUGUGUUCGGGCUUGCUGUGCGCAGGAUAGGUGGGAGGCUAUGAAGGUAUGCUUGUGGGUGUACUGGAGCCGUCAGUGAGAUACCACUCUCAGGGGGCUAGAAUUCUAACUAAAGAAAGGACAGUUUCAGGUGGGCAGUUUGACUGGGGCGGUCGCCUCCGAAAAGGUAACGGAGGCGUACAAAGGUUCCUUCAGACUGGUUGGAAAUCAGUCGCAGAGUGCAAAGGCAGAAAGGAGCUUGACUGCGAGAAUUACAGUUCGAGCAGGGUGGAAACACGGUCUUAGUGAUCCGACGGUGCUGUGUGGAAGGGCCGUCGCUCAACGGAUAAAAGUUACUCUAGGAUAACAGGCUGAUCUCCCCCAAGAGUUCACAUCGACGGGGAGGUUUGGCACCUCGAUGUCGGCUCAUCGCAACCUGGGGCGGAAGUACGUCCCAAGGGUUGGGCUGUUCGCCCAUUAAAGCGGUACGUGAGCUGGGUUCAGAACGUCGUGAGACAGUUCGGUCCAUAUCCGAUGUAGGCGAGAGAAUAUUGAGAGGAGCCUUCCUUAGUACGAGAGGACCGGGAAGGACGCACCGCUGGUGUACCUGUUAUGAUGCCAAUUGUAAACGCAGGGUAGCCAAGUGCGGAGAGGAUAACCGCUGAAAGCAUCUAAGUGGGAAGCCCACCUCAAGAUGAGUAUUCUGUGUUAAGGUCACGGGAAGACGACCCGUAAAUAGGCACGAGGUGGAAGUACAGUAAUGUAUGAAGCCGAAGUGUACUAAUAGACCGUCAGCUUGA
This 1323-nucleotide ribosomal RNA is filed under the name metagenome. RNAcentral describes it as "bacterial LSU rRNA". It matches the Rfam family "Bacterial large subunit ribosomal RNA", at positions 1561 to 2925 of the family's 2925-position model. The record is from RNAcentral.